CUGGUCACAGUGAGUGAGUCCUUGUCCUGUUGAUGAAUGGACAGAAUGGACGCAUUGAUUGGACACAUGAUUCCCCAUCUGACACUUCAUGACUCCAUGGCUGGGACACUUAGGGAUUGGCAUGAAAUUCCAUAAUAUAAUGAAAGUAAAACCCAGACCUUUGAAGACUGUCUUAAAGGAGAAGGUCAUGGUAAGAAGGGUUCCUGGAACUCAGGGCUCUGAUUUUUCUUCUGGAAACUCCUUUUGCAAAUUUCUUUCUGAUGUCCAUCACCUCGGCCAGUUCAGCAUAAUGGGGACCUUUUCACUCUCAGACCCUUCCUUUCACAUCCCUUCCAUACAACCCUGCAGCAAGGCCCAAGGCUCUCAUUCAUUGUUUCAAAAAAUGUUAAAUAACC
Molecule: long non-coding RNA, 395 nt
Filed under: Bos indicus x Bos taurus (hybrid cattle)
Lineage: Eukaryota; Metazoa; Chordata; Mammalia; Artiodactyla; Bovidae
Description: lncRNA (ENSBIXG00000008177.1)
Source: RNAcentral